UACAGAGGGUGCAAGCGUUGCUCGGAUUUACUGGGCGUAAAGCGUACGCAGACGGUGAGAAAGGUCGGAUGUGAAAGCCCCGGGCUCAACCCGGGAACUGCAUCCGAAACCAUCUCGCUCGAGUGUGGGAGAGGGAAGCGGAAUUCCUGGUGUAGAGGUGAAAUUCGUAGAUAUCAGGAGGAACACCGGUGGCGAAGGCGGUUCUCUGGGCAUUACCUGACGCUGAGGAGCGAAAGUGUGGGGAGCGAACAGG
RNAcentral lists this ribosomal RNA (253 nucleotides) under uncultured bacterium. Its description in RNAcentral is "partial 16S ribosomal RNA". It matches the Rfam family "Bacterial small subunit ribosomal RNA", at positions 524 to 776 of the family's 1533-position model. The record is from RNAcentral.